AAACUCAAGCUGGGGGUCAGUGAACACAUUCCUGUUGUAAGUGACCAUGAAUCCACUUUCUUUCUUCUAGUUGGAAGAUUUGAUAAGAUAGAGAGGAUUUCAAAAGAACACGUUUUUUUAAAUAAACAAACACCACGCUAGGUUCAUUUUUACAAUCCAAUUCUCCUCCCUCGAAAUGACAAAAAGCUCUCCGAAUUAAAAGGUUAUAAAUAUCUAAGGCUGAGUAUAUAUUACAUAACCGUGAAACGCUAGAGAAAUACUACUGACAAGAUGAAAAACCAUAGAUUUUCACCGACAUUUUUCAAGUUUACGUUAUUUCCUGCAUGUUCUUUUAAACAGCAUUUUAUUUUUCAUUUACGUUUGGUAUAGUCCGCGUCAGCAAAUUUUCAGAAUUCUACAGAUGGGCUACGUCAUGGCAUACCACCUGACAAUUAAAGUUCCGCAUUCAAAAUUAUUGGUCGUAAACUUCUCUUCAGCUGGAAGGCACUUGUGCACUGCUCUAUUGUGUUUACUUGACGGAAGCAAGUUUACUUUUAUACAAGCCGAAGCCGCUGUUCUAAAAAUAUCGAAAAAAUUUGUUGAAUCUAACUUAAGUUUAUGGAAAUUAACAUUGCAGAAUGGUCCGUUGACUCUCUGUCCUCAGGGGGAAGCAAGAAAUGAAUAAAACAUAAUUCUAGCUGAAACAUUUUCUUGAAAUUUUGCAAGCUGAAUGGAUAAGUGGUUGAAAAGAUAGUCCCAAUAGUCUACUCAAUAAGAUCCGCGAGAUACAUUGAAAAAAUACGGAGAAAGGGUGUUUCCUAGCUUCGGUUUAAAAUGUAAAUACUUAACUUUCAUUUUCAAGUCCAUGAACUUGGGCGUUCUCUGGCGCUUUUUUUUUUCCCAACAGCUUUCAAACCUAGGGGCUAUACCGGGGUUUCACCGUUUGUUUUUUGUUUCACCGUCUACAUUCGAGUCGUGUUCCACAGAUGGAGUCUCUGAAUACGUGUACAAGUCGUAAAAAAAGAUAAACCUAAAAAAAUGGGGUUUUCUCUUAUCUAUUAUUUUGGGCCUUUUUUGCAAGCGCAAGCGCAUAACUUAAUCAUAUUCGUCUUUUGGGAAAAAACUGUCAUCCGUCGCCGAGUUAGUUUCAUUCUUCAUAAACGUCUAAUGGAACCUCGAUUAACAUUUUUCCGUAACAAUGUUUUCUAGAAUGCCAUUCCACUAAAAAGUGCCGAGGAAUUCACCUUACCUGACCAUACCAUAAAAUUAUAGCGUCCAGUAGAAGUUGCUGUAACCAUGGGAAUGGCGAAUGACCCAUCGAUCAAACAAGAAUUGAAAAUAAGGAAAAAAAGUUACACCGUGCGGGCUUGAAGCGGAACGGCCGGAAGUUGAUCCUCCACCCUCCGUCUCGCCGGGGUUUUUUAAACAUCAGGGCACGAAUUAAUUCUAAAAUAAUGAUCAGAUACGCGUAGUUUCACACUGAACACAAGAGAUGUUUGAUGUUACACACAGGUGGAGUACACACAUCCUGAUGAACAUCAACCCUAGCUGUUGUGUUAUAAUGAUUGGUCACCUGUUCGUUUCAUAUACAACCGCACCUGCAAUACCCUGUAUAUACACUCUAUUCACUCGGUCAUUAAAAGUAGACAAUGUGUUGGUCGUCCGGUGAAAAUAUUGCUACAAACAAGUGGGAAAAGCCAAAGAUGCUCAAGGGCUUCGACAGGAAAUGGCGAACGGAGAAUGCCGUUCCAGUCUGACAGCCACUAUUUAGAAACCUAGUGUACCCCCAGCGCUCUACACCAACAUCAGUCGGGCGUGGUAUUUUCCAAACUUCCCGUGUGCUGCGCGUGCACGAAAAUCAAUGGAAAAAAGGGAAAUUUGCAAAACUUGUUGGUAUUUGCUGCAAUUGUAUUGUCUGAAAGCAAGAGAGCAGGCCUUACUAGCAUGCACAAACAAAGCGAAAGGACUUAGUAUUAAUAGGAAUAUCGGAUUUGUAUAUAAUAAAGGAGUGGUAGUUUUUUAAGAGCAGAUCGAUAGCUUUGAGUUUGGAAAAUAAAUAAAGGGAAGUUUGAAGAAA
Long non-coding RNA from Daphnia pulicaria, 2056 nucleotides. RefSeq lists it as uncharacterized. The record is from RefSeq and is a predicted model, not a curated record. Lineage: Eukaryota; Metazoa; Arthropoda; Branchiopoda; Diplostraca; Daphniidae. The transcript has 2 exons.